AAGUAAAAGUCGUAACAAGGUAUCUGUAGGUGAACCUGCAGAUGGAUCAUUUC
RNAcentral lists this ribosomal RNA (53 nucleotides) under uncultured fungus. RNAcentral describes it as "partial 18S ribosomal RNA". It matches the Rfam family "Eukaryotic small subunit ribosomal RNA", at positions 1780 to 1831 of the family's 1831-position model. Lineage: Eukaryota; Fungi. The record is from RNAcentral.